GACGAACGCUGGCGGCGUGCCUAUUACAUGCAAGUCGAACGCAUUUUCUUUCACCGUAGCUUGCUACACCGAAAGAAAAUGAGUGGCGAACGGGUGAGUAACACGUGGGUAACCUGCCCAUCAGCGGGGGAUAACACUUGGAAACAGGUGCUAAUACCGCAUAAUUCCAUUUACCUCAUGGUAGAUAGAUGAAAGGCGCUUUUGAGUCACUGAUGGAUGGACCCGCGGUGCAUUAGCUAGUUGGUGGGGUAACGGCCUACCAAGGCUGCGAUGCAUAGCCGACCUGAGAGGGUGAUCGGCCACACUGGGACUGGGACACGGCCCAGACUCCUACGGGAGGCAGCAGUAGGGAAUCUUCGGCAAUGGACGCAAGUCUGACCGAGCAACGCCGCGGGAGUGAAGAAGGUUUUCGGAUCGUAAAACUCUGUUGUUAGAGAAGAACAAGGAUGAGAGUGGAAAGUUCAUCCCUUGACGGUAUCUAACCAGAAAGCCACGGCUAACUACGUG
RNAcentral lists this ribosomal RNA (507 nucleotides) under uncultured bacterium. RNAcentral's name for it is "partial 16S ribosomal RNA". It matches the Rfam family "Bacterial small subunit ribosomal RNA", at positions 28 to 507 of the family's 1533-position model. The record is from RNAcentral.